This 466-nucleotide ribosomal RNA is filed under the name uncultured bacterium. RNAcentral describes it as "partial 16S ribosomal RNA". It matches the Rfam family "Bacterial small subunit ribosomal RNA", at positions 28 to 507 of the family's 1533-position model. The record is from RNAcentral.
GACGAACGCUGGCGGCGCGCCUAACACAUGCAAGUCGAACGAGCGAGCGAGAGCUUGCUUUCUUGAGCGAGUGGCGAACGGGUGAGUAACGCGUGAGGAACCUGCCUCAAAGAGGGGGACAACAGGUGGAAACGACUGCUAAUACCGCAUAAGCCCACGACCCGGCAUCGGGUUGAGGGAAAAGGAGCAAUCCGCUUUGAGAUGGCCUCGCGUCCGAUUAGCUAGUUGGUGAGGUAACGGCCCACCAAGGCGACGAUCGGUAGCCGGACUGAGAGGUUGAACGGCCACAUUGGGACUGAGACACGGCCCAGACUCCUACGGGAGGCAGCAGUGGGGAAUAUUGCACAAUGGGGGAAACCCUGAUGCAGCGACGCCGCGUGGAGGAAGAAGGUCUUCGGAUUGUAAACUCCUGUUGUUGAGGAAGAUAAUGACGGUACUCAACAAGGAAGUGACGGCUAACUACGUG